GAUGAACGCUGGCGGCGUGCCUAAUACAUGCAAGUCGAGCGAACGGACGAGAAGCUUGCUUCUCUGAUGUUAGCGGCGGACGGGUGAGUAACACGUGGAUAACCUACCUGUAAGACUGGGAUAACUUCGGGAAACCGUAGCUAAUACCGGAUAAUAUUUUGAACCGCAUGGUUCAAAAGUGAAAGACGGUCUUGCUGUCACUUAUAGAUGGAUCCGCGCUGCAUUAGCUAGUUGGUAAGGUAACGGCUUACCAAGGCAACGAUGCAUAGCCGACCUGAGAGGGUGAUCGGCCACACUGGAACUGAGACACGGUCCAGACUCCUACGGGAGGCAGCAGUAGGGAAUCUUGCGCAAUGGGCGAAAGCCUGACGGAGCAACGCCGCGUGAGUGAUGAAGGUCUUCGGAUCGUAAAACUCUGUUAUUAGGGAAGAACAUAUGUGUAAGUAACUGUGCACAUCUUGACGGUACCUAAUCAGAAAGCCACGGCUAACUACGUG
This 497-nucleotide ribosomal RNA is filed under the name uncultured bacterium. Its description in RNAcentral is "partial 16S ribosomal RNA". It matches the Rfam family "Bacterial small subunit ribosomal RNA", at positions 28 to 507 of the family's 1533-position model. The record is from RNAcentral.